Molecule: long non-coding RNA, 1028 nt
Organism: Rosa rugosa (rugosa rose)
Lineage: Eukaryota; Viridiplantae; Streptophyta; Magnoliopsida; Rosales; Rosaceae
Exons: 2
Source: RefSeq, a predicted model, not a curated record
UCAGUUUUGAUGGAGUUAAGUAUUUGAUUAAGGCUUAGGUUGGGAUUGAUUCCUGAUGUGUUUUUGGAGCUGCUUCUGCUUUUGGUUUCAGAAUAUAGUGUUUGGUAAAAUCUUUAAAAGAUGCUUUUGAUUGAAAUUGCUUCUCCGUAAAGCUGAAUUUGGGAAGCUACAAUUUGUAGCUUUUAAAGAACUGCUUUGGGAAAACACGGAGCAUGUACAGUAGAGAGUUUAAUGAAAUUUGUCUAACUGCCAAUUCUGUCCUCCUCCUUUUUUGAAAAUUACAUCGAAACAGCUAAAUCCAUCGCAAGGCAGUGAGAUUCCACAUCUCCUCCUUCCUCUUCUUCGUUGUCUGGUUCUCCCUCGUCUUCUCUCAGAUCACCUUCUUCCUCAGCUCAUCGCUGGUGACCUCCUUCAAUUCGUGGAUUGUCACCGCCUUCCUCUGCGCCUUCUUCUUCAGCUCGUCGUGGAUUGUCGCCGCCUUCCUCUACGCCGUCUUCUUCAGCUUGUUGUGGAUUCUGGCCGCCUUCCUCUGCGCCUUCUUCUUCAACUCGUCGCUGGUGACCUCCUUCAAUUCGUGGAUUCUCGUCACUGAAAGGGAAGCCAGCAUUGAACUGGCAACAUCAUCCCUAGAGACCAUCAACAAGGAGAAAAACGAGUGAGGUGUCAUGACACUUUUGUGCAGACAGAAUUGGAGGAAGCAACUUUUUCGACAACUUCCAUAACUCCCCACCACUAGGCUAACAGCUUUUCAGCAUACACAUGCUAAUAGACAUCAUCACCUAUUUUUGCCAAGCUGAUCAAGCAGUGAUUGUAACUAAGUUAGUCUGCAACUAGAACAACAUCUACGUUAGUGGAGAAAACUAUUUUUUGCAAGCUGUUCUAGCAGCAACUGUAACUAUGGCUUAGUUUGGGACUAUGACAACCUAUUUUUUGAACACUACCACAACAUCUGUAUUGGUGGUAAUGUUACUAGGACAUGAUUUGCAUCUUCUGUUAUAAAUGAUUUGCCGUCAGAAUAUUGUACUUUA